CUUUGCAAUGAGUAUUAAAAAAUGUGAUUAAAAAGAUCAAGAAGCCACCAAGAGUCAUUACCUUCUGUAUACUGUCAGUGUUGGCAGGUACACAAGCCAGUGGUAUGAGCUAAGUGUUCAGCAAGUACAGGUAGUUCCUGAAAGUGAGGAUCCCGGGGAGCAUCACAAUACAAGGGCAUUUGAAAACUUUGAUUCUAGACCUGUCUAGUCCCUCUGCAUGGGUGGAGGAUGAGGAGAAGAGGACAAUAUAAUAGGGAAGAAAAUAGUGUAUGAAAAAGGAAGAAGAAAAAGUUGCUAACCACGCUUCACCAUGGGGCUGCGGAUCUAAUUGGACUUUGCUGGAGAACUGGGGGCUGACCUAUGAGUUCUGGAGGUCAAGAAGCUUAAGGUCAAUAUUCUAGCCCAUCCGGAACCAGACUUCUUCCUGGCUUCAGUCUGUGUUCAGGGAGAAAGAGAGCAAGAGCGAAAGUGCCAACAGGGUGGCCCGCGAUGUCUUUACCCAGUCUCAGCGUCUGGCCUAGGGAGAGGUGUGUGCACCAGACGCUCCAAGAGGACCGGGUGGAGCCCAGGACCCUUACGCGAGCCCAGCUGGCGCUGCUGUGCUGCAGCACGACUCCACCUUUGCUUCUUAACAUCAGAUAGCAGUGAGAUAACAGAGUGCCGCACAGUUAGCAGCCCUGCAGACGUACGUGGGAAGACGCUAAAAACCGUUCUCAUUGAGGGGAAGUAAUCCGAGAAGAAGCCUAGAUCUUCAGGAGAGCGCGAAGGUCUGCCUUUCACUGUGAGGUCUGUGUUUGCAUUUGUCAUUCUCCCUCGUUACGCUCAAGCCCGGAGAGAGCCUUCGUUUACCUUUGAUUCUCUGCAACAUACUCAAUAUCCAUGGAACCGGAAGAUUCCACUGGGCAAGUUAACAUUUCUUUUGAUUCUCAUUUCCAAGGGGUUCCGAGGUCCAAGGUCCAGGACC
Molecule: long non-coding RNA, 964 nt
Organism: Tupaia belangeri chinensis (Chinese tree shrew)
Lineage: Eukaryota; Metazoa; Chordata; Mammalia; Scandentia; Tupaiidae
Exons: 5
Source: RefSeq, a predicted model, not a curated record